UACGUAGGGGGCAAGCGUUGUCCGGAUUUAUUGGGCGUAAAGAGCUCGUAGGCGGUCUGUCACGUCGGAUGUGAAAACUCGGGGCUCAACCCCGAGCCUGCAUUCGAUACGGGCAGACUUGAGUUCGGCAGGGGAGACUGGAAUUCCUGGUGUAGCGGUGAAAUGCGCAGAUAUCAGGAGGAACACCGAUGGCGAAGGCAGGUCUCUGGGCAUUAACUGACGCUGAGGAGCGAAAGCAUGGGGAGCGAACAGG
RNAcentral lists this ribosomal RNA (253 nucleotides) under uncultured bacterium. RNAcentral's name for it is "partial 16S ribosomal RNA". It matches the Rfam family "Bacterial small subunit ribosomal RNA", at positions 524 to 776 of the family's 1533-position model. The record is from RNAcentral.